GUGUAGCAGGAUAGCUCAACCAGUACAGCAAGAGACUCUUAAUCUCAGGGUUGUGGGUUUGUGUCCCAUGUUGGACA
Non-coding RNA from Podarcis lilfordi (Lilford's wall lizard), 77 nucleotides. The record is from the annotation of a GenBank genome assembly. NCBI's taxonomy places the organism in Eukaryota, Metazoa, Chordata, Lepidosauria, Squamata, Lacertidae.